RNAcentral lists this non-coding RNA (75 nucleotides) under unclassified sequences. The record is from RNAcentral.
AAAUAUUUACCGCCGGGUAACGUCUUGCCCAUUCCGUUAGGCCACAGAAGGAAUGGAGGCAGAGGCGUUUAUUUU